RNAcentral lists this ribosomal RNA (503 nucleotides) under marine sediment bacterium ISA-3140. RNAcentral describes it as "bacterial SSU rRNA". It matches the Rfam family "Bacterial small subunit ribosomal RNA", at positions 49 to 540 of the family's 1533-position model. The record is from RNAcentral.
CUACCAUGCAAGUCGAGCGGUAACAGGAAUUAGCUUGCUAAUUUGCUGACGAGCGGCGGNACGGGUGNAGUAAUGCCUAGGGAACUGCCCAGUCGAGGGGGAUAACAGUUGGAAACGACUGCUAAUACCGCAUACGCCCUACGGGGGAAAAGAGGGGACCUUCGGGCCUUCUGCGAUUGGAUGUACCUAGGUGGGAUUAGCUAGUUGGUGAGGUAAUGGCUCACCAAGGCGACGAUCCCUAGCUGUUCUGAGAGGAUGAUCAGCCACACUGGGACUGAGACACGGCCCAGACUCCUACGGGAGGCAGCAGUGGGGAAUAUUGCACAAUGGGCGCAAGCCUGAUGCAGCCAUGCCGCGUGUGUGAAGAAGGCCUUCGGGUUGUAAAGCACUUUCAGCGAGGAGGAAAGCUUAAGCGUUAAUAGCGUUUAGGUGUGACGUUACUCGCAGAAGAAGGACCGGCUAACUUCGUGCCAGCAGCCGCGGUAAUACGAGGGGUCCAAGCG